Long non-coding RNA from Pteropus alecto (black flying fox), 11592 nucleotides. RefSeq lists it as uncharacterized. The record is from RefSeq and is a predicted model, not a curated record. The transcript is spliced from 3 exons. Lineage: Eukaryota; Metazoa; Chordata; Mammalia; Chiroptera; Pteropodidae.
CUUUGUCUUUACUUUUUAUUGUGUUCAAGAUUUAAAAUCCUUGUGUCUGAAGCAAAAUUUUGUCUUUUUCCCCAGAGUUUUAUCCUUCAGUGGUAGCAAAUGAGUGUAAUUUAUUAAUCUCCCAAAAAAGUGCCUGCCAUUAUGCUAGGCACUUGGCACAAAUACAAAAGAAUAGUGUGGAACUGAAAGUCAUACCAUAUAGGUCCCUAUUCUGAAGGAGCUGCUGCACCGUAGCUACAGUCCAGCUCAAAUGGAGCUGGCCGUUAGGUCCAAAUCUAUGGCUUUUGCAAAAAUUGCCAACCCCUUCUUCACCUCCUGCCGCUGGUUCAGAGAACCCCGAAAUGCCGCAGUGGGAUGAACACCUUCUCAGAAUUUGAGAGGCUCCACUGGAACUGCUUGGGGCUAUUUCAGCCUGUCCACCUUGACCACUUGACUAGUCUGUCCAGUAGGUGGCAGUUUUUUGUGUGCAACUUCAUCUGAAAUUGUGUCUGUUCUUGGAGUGCUGGUGCUUUCCUCUGAUUUCCUAUUUUCAUGCCACUCAAGGCUUCCACUAAGUUCCUUUCUUCAUUCUCUUCUCUCGUUCUCAUAUCUGGGUGUUUCCAGUUCUUAUCUUUUACACGGACCUGCUUAUAGAAUCUUCUCAGUUUUAAGAAUGACACUAUAAAAUAAUGAAAGAGUCCUUGACUUAGAAGGCAUGCUGGGCCCCUUUCUUGCUGAUGUUACCUUUUAAAAGCCACCUGAGGUCUCUAACUGCAGCUUCAGCUAAGAGUGAGGGCGUUGGGGUAGUGGAGUGGGUUUGAGUUCUCAUGUCAUCUGGCUGUGAGACCUUGUGCAAGUUACUGAACCUCCCUGAGCUCACUUUCCUCAUCUGUGAAAUGGGAAUAAUGGCUGUCUCUCUGCCUAUCUAUCCAACUUAAUAAUAGAAAAGUUUUCUUCUACUUAUGGCAUAUAGUCAACACCAAAUGUCUGUAAGAGAUGAAGUGCUUCUCACCAGUCCCUACUAGGCACUGGCAAUGUUUUGACUCUAAUGAUUUCAACAAGAGAAUUCUCAAUUUAUACAUUAACAUCCACUUGGCAUUGUCUGUGUUUGUACAACCUGUGUGCUGGCUUGGGUUGUUUACUGAUUUAUCUUUAAAAGUAUAGCAUAAUGGUUUGGCACUCAGGCCUUGAAGCUAGAUUACCAAAAUUUAAAUUCUAGCACUGCCCUUAUUAUAGCCCUAGGAUCUUGGGGAAGUUACUUAACCUCUCUGAGUUUAUUUCCUCAUCUUAAAAAUAGGCUUACUACAGAGUAUUUACCCAUAGGUCAGUUGUGAGAAUCAAACAAGCUAAUUACAUGCAAAGCAAUUAGAAAAGUGGUUUGAAACAGAGCAGUGUUAGCUAUUAUUAUUACCUUUCUUAUGGCAUCUAUUUAUUGGAAUAGCUCUAAAAGCCAUGGGGUAUGUGUGUGCGGGUGUGCACGCAUGUGUGCAUGUGCACGCAUGCAUGUACUCAUGGCUUGCAGAACUCUCCUCGCCUCUUAGUCUCUCCAGGGAUUAAAGAUCACCUUCUUUUUGAAAGACAGCCAGGAUAUUUAUUUCAGUGGACGCUUUGACACCCAGAAUUUGUAUCAGAAUCCUUGUUUCUACUGAGUCAAUCUUGCCUUCAAACUUCUAAUGCUUCUUCUGUGAAGCCAUAACCCCAUCAGUCCUCCAGGAAAAGAAUUAAGUACAUACUCAUUGAGCAUCUCCUGUGCAAAGGCAGUGGGCUGUGCAAGCCAGCAUACGUUCUCCCUAAAGACAGAGUAAAUUAAGGAGAGAACUAGAAAGGGAAGCAGAGUGAGAAAAGGCAAAAAAAGAGAGAGAAUAAAACUUCUCUGGAAUUUUUCCAUAUUCAAUGUCUCUUUCUUUUGUGUCUCUCCUUAGAACAUGGAGGCGACCACCAGAUAUUUUGGAUUUUUCUGGUAUGCUCAUUUUCAUAUAUUACUGCUAUGGUCCCUAUAACAUGUCUUGUUACUGGGCCACAAUUUCUGAAUUGGGGGUUUGGAAAAAUAUGAUCAGUCAAAGGAACAGAAUCUUUUGCUUUCAUUAUUUGAAAAAUGAAUACCUCCUCUCAAAGAUAGGGUGGGAGGUAUUCCUGGAGCAGGCUGGAUUUUUCCCUUUGGGAACCAUGGCAACACGUUGGGUGUUUUGCACACAAACCUUGAGCCUAGGCACUGCUGCAUCUGGCAGCCGGCCCUGACUACAGCCUCACGUGACCACCCAUUCACAGGCCCCAGAGCCAGGUUUCUCUUGCUUCCCGUGUUGCUCUUUGCUCCUCUUCAUGUUUGCCUUCUGCCUUCUUGUCUUCUCUUUCUCAUCUUCUUCCUCCACCGUUACAGAGAGGUCAUCCUGGAGUGUUUGGGCUGCAUUAGGUGCUGCCAACAUCCCCAGAGCACCAGGCUUCAUAUUUUAUGCAGAGAGAAAGCUGCACAAAGUCUUGAUGCAGUAUUUUGCUUCACCAAAGUAAAAAUUUCAAAAUAACUCAAGAAAGAAAAGUAAAAAGUAUCAUACACCUGUUCUGUCAGGCACUGAGUGAGUGCUGGUGACAGACACACAGAGCCCACCCCUAAGGUGCUUUCAGUCCAAUAGGGGAGGCAGACAGGGACACAGGCUGAGUGAUCCAGUGUGGUAAGUAUUAGGACAGGGCUGGGAACCUAACCUAGCACUGGGGAGGGAGGGGGGUCCAGGAAGUCCUCUAAAAAAGGGUGCCCCAAACUCAGCCUUGAAAAAUAAGUGGUAGCUGGACAAUGAGCUGGAGGAGAGAGAAAGAGCCUUAUCUUAUUUCUCAACCUGAUAAUGAAGAUAUUAUGAUCUUCAUUUUUAUCGAUGAAGAAACUGUGGCUCAGAGGCUUCAGUUACUCAAAAUCAGCCACUUACUAAAUAGUAAAGCCAGGGUACAAACCCAGGACUUCAGCUGUCAAGGCAACUACGCUGUGUUCUAGGCCCACUGUGUCUUAUUUCUGAAAAUGACUUUGAAAACAAACCAAAAACAUUUUUCUCUAACAGGGACUCGAAAAAAAUGCUGUACAGUCCUCUUCAUGUUACAUCAGCUGUUAAGUGCCUGGAUCGACACUUUAGGCCUGGUCAUUCUGGCCACAUAAAUAUGGGCACAGUCUCGACUUGGUUCAGGUCCAGCUGCUUCUCUCACCCUCCCUGAAGUGUAAUUGUUCCAUCAGAGCAUUUGCCACAUAAUGGUCAGUGGCUCAGGAGAUGUUUUAAGGCAGUUUCUUUGUCCUUCAUAUAGAUUUACAGCUGUUCCACACUGAAUAAGACCAAACUGCAGACAGGACUAAGAUUCCAGCUUAGUUGCUGAGUAUGGUUGUUCAGACUGCCUGCUGUACCAGUGCGGCUAGCUAAGGGCAUGAGAGGGGCUGAUCCUACCCUGCAUUCUGCUUACCCGGCCGUGUGCCCUGGCGUGGGGUUUGUCUGCCCACUGAAGCCUCUGAGCUUCAGAGGGCAGAGAAAGGGGCAGAGAAAGGGGCACUUGUUUUUCUAACUGAUGUGCAAAGCUUCCAAGCCCAACAUUUUUCGAUAUAUGAUGUAUUUUGUACUAUGGUGGCCAUUUCUCCAUCUGUACAUUUUAUAAAUUGACAUCAUUCAGAGUCUAAUAAAAUUUUCAUAACAGGCCUCUAUCAAAAGCCAGUUCUGUAUUUUUGUGGAUUUUCCUCAUGGAUUGGUUAAGAUGAUAUAAAUGGAAAUUUUAAAAAUUUACUUUUUUGCACUCACAAAUGUGUUACUUUUGGCUGUUGCCCAGCUCAGUCUAGUUUGGGAACUCCGAUUCCCCAGGAAUUAAGAAAAACGUUCCUAGUUUCCCUCUGAUUGCUGGAUUAGCACAACUUCCUUCAGCUCACAGCUGAAUUCCAGCCCCAAGGAAGAAAUGUCUUAGACAGCGAACUCCGAGCCUGGAGCCUGUCAGUAGUUGUGUCAUGUGUUUGCAUUAGCUGAACAAAAAGCAGGCAGACUUUCCGGCCUUGCUCCCCCUCCACCCCGCACCCCUCUCUGGAGAGGCCAGUUAAUGUCUAGACAGUGUCUGCUUGGCACUGCGCCUUUUAAGCACAAUCUGUACAGUUCUGCAGCUCUGACUUAGGUUCUUCUCCUCACUCGUUCCCCCCGUUUUUUCGGUCAGCCUUAACCUGUCUCAGGGGAACUGACAUGACCGCACACAUAGGAAACAGGUGAGUGAAUUUAUGAGACUGUCAGGAUUCCGCUGUCUUGAGAGGUUUGGAGUUGAGAAAAUACCAGCAGUGCUGCCUGAAGCUGUGGCUAUUUACAGAGGUUUCUGAUGUGAGCUGGCUCCAAACAACCCUCCACUGAUUGGCCAGAGAUGGGCAGGAGCAAAUAAUCCAGGACAGACAGUGGCACUCAAUUAAUAUGCCUCGUGCCUUCCAUAGGUAGCAUGAAUUUGGGCAAGUCAGUGGACCCCUCAUCUGCAAAAUAUGGGGGUUAGAGUAGGUGAGCUCCAGAACCCAGCUCUGAAAUCCUGUCCAUAAAAAAGAAGGCAGACAUUUUAAGGUGGAUUAUCAAAAUAUUCUACUUAACCCCUUUCCCAUUUGCCCCGAGAAUACUCGCUGGCGGCGUUUGUGGCUACAACGUUUACCCCAAAAUAAUUCGCAGAUUACAGUCCAAACCUUACCUUCAAAGGUUGCCAUGAACUAUCUCGCUUUUAUUGUUAUUUUCACAUCUCUCUAGUUGAAUGGAGUAAGAAUAUUUGAUUAGCUCUUGUCUUAAUUGAUAGCCCAGGGAGGAGCAGUUUGAAAGAGAAGCUGGUGCAGGAAUGGAAAAAGAGAAUGAGUAAAAGCAGGAGGCAUCUUGUGUCCCUUACUGCCUCCUGCAUAUGUUGAGUAUGAUAUAAACAGUACAGCAUGUGGCACUGAACACUUCUCGUGCCCAGGAAUCUCAAAUGCUCUUUAUAGAAAGGAAUUGCCUGAUUUUCCACUGGGCAAGAAAUGAAGAAUGCUGGGUCCCCUUAAGGUUGAGCAAGGAAUUAAUUUAAAAAAGAAAAAAGAGGAAAAAAAGAAAGAAAAAAGAAGACAACUCAAAGUGUGCAACUUGAGCUUUUAUUGAACUUAUUAAAAAAACAAAAACGAAACAUUUUCCUGACCUUUGUAAAUGUUCCCAUUUUCUCUUAAACAUCAUGAUGUAGUAGUGAAAUGGCUUACAAAAAUAGUUGUCUGAAAAUGUGGCAUGGACCCUAAUUUUGUUUUCUGGAAUGCUUCUUGCCUUCUCACCAUGUUACCUGGCCCAUGACCUGAGUCUCCUGAGCAGAUAUUGAUGAAGUUGCUGCCUUGGUCCCCAUGCCCUCCUCUCUAAAUCAAUUCAGGGUUUUUGUUACAGCUGAGGAAACAACUCUUUGGCCUUGACCUCAGUGGUUAAAUUAAGUGAAUUGCUAGGGUGAACGCAGCAAGGAAACAGGCCAGUGCAUAAGUUUUAGUCCUGCUUAAAUGCUUGGUACCUUAACUGCACUCCAGUUCCUGAAUCCCACUAGAUAAUCCCAGUAUGCUAAAUUGUGCUAACUUGGUCGUGAGUGGAGGGCCAGCCCAAGGCUGCAUGUGGCUUUCCUAAUAAGGCUACUUGUACAGUGUCAGAAUUGAAUGAAAUUUGGCUGUUCUCCAGAGUAGACUAUAUACAUAGAUACACACACAUAAUUUCACUACUUAAUUGACUUAAUGUUCACCACUUGGAGAACAUGACCAUUUACCUAUAGCUCAAAUAUACUUCUCUCACAAGAACAAAUUCCUAUGGAAACCAGUGAAGAGAAGCAUAUAUAUUAUUAAAUUUCCUUUAAUUUGACUGUUUUGUUUAGUUUAUUGUUUGUACUGAUUCUUGAGCCUAGGCACAUAGAAAAUAGUAAUGAGGAGUGCUUAUUUUUGUGGUUGUGAAGUUUGGCUGUCAAUGAACAUUAAUCAAUGUAUGUUAUUCAUUCAUUCAUCCAUUCAUUCAUUUAUUCCCUACCUCAUUCCAAAAAUAAGAGGUAUGUUUUUCCUCUCAAAUCCCAUGGCUAGCAUGUCCAACUAGCUUUUCUGUUAGCAUUAGGCUAACUAAGCCUAUUUUCGGUUAUGAAGAAAGACCCAAGUUUGUGGCAUAACAUUUGCAACAAAGGAAAAUAAAAUGGAUGAAGAACUCAAGGACAUUCCAGAGAAAUUUCUAGUGACUGUCACCAGGAUACCUAGCUUAUCUAAACUUCAGCAUGAAAUUGAUAUGUGUGAAAUUUCUUUUAAAGCAGCUAAAAGCUAUUGAACUGAGCAGACUCAGACAUAACUGAGCUCCCUUCAUUGUCAGAGUCCCUAUCAGGUGUAGGGCCCAGGCGUGGUUUCUUGGUGGCCCAGCUCAGUUCAGCUCACAAAAACCUGCUUUGGGAUGGAGGCAGAAUUACUCCAUCAUGAUGCUCAGAACACUCAGCAUCAUGUCUCCAAGGGCAUCCUCAUCCUUGAGUCUUCACUGUAUAUUAUUACAGUGCUAUAAUUAUUGGGAGUAGGCUGCGGUCUAUAUCAGAAGCAGUCAAUUCACCUGGCUUCUCCUUAGAGUCCUAAAAAUAUUUCAAAAUUGUGUCCAUUCGUGCUUUGUUCUCCCACCCCUCUUUUAGUCUUCUAUCCUUGGCAUUUUCUGUUUUCUUUCCUUUCUUAUCCUGUGUGGCCCUGACCUUACCAACCGCCACACACAGAGAAGCAGACUUCCUGGUUUAGCUAUUGAUUUUAGGGUAAAGCUUUUCACUUUAUGCAUUAAUUGGUGUCUGUGUCAUGUUCAACACAAGAGUAACUUUCUGCAUGGCACCAAGGGCUGGCUAAUGAUCAAAGAAAACCCCAGCAAAAGGACACCCACCCACUUCAGGUGUGAGUUCUUUUGGGGUUUCUCAAUUUCCUUUCUUGGGGGACAAGACUGGAAGGGAGAAGAGGAUCGGGAAGUGCUUUGAGUAGAGGCCAAAUAUUCAAGUCUUUGCUAAAUGUUGGGUAUAAUAAAUUUAGUACUCACUGCUGACUUGUUUCUUAAUAACAUUUCCUUAAGUGUUUGUGGGCCAUAUUGUUUAAAGGAAAGUUGCCAAGUUAACAGCUUUAUUUCUGAGAAAGAGAACUGAAAAAGAGUCUUCGUGUUUUUAUAUUUUGUAGGAGAAUAUGUAUAAUAUAACCUGGAUGACAAUAAGAAACCAUAAAAGUUGUAUGUAUGUUCAUUACAUGCCCUAUUUAGGCACUCUCUUUCUUAAAAGACAAAAUAAAUAAAGAAAGAAAGAAACCGUGAAGGUGAUAUUUUGUCCUAUGAGAACAACCGAUGCUUGAGGAUUAUUAACCCUGCUGUGUUGGUUAUUUUACAGCUCAGCUAAUUGGCUAAUUAAGCUCUUCAUUUCCUGCUUAUGUUUCUUCAGUGAAUUGUUGUGUGGAUUAGAGAGCAAUCUGGGUUCCUCCAGAGUGGCUAUAUUUCAAUUGGUGAUUGAAUUAUUUUUCUAAGUAAUGUUAUCAUUGUUUUCUGUAGUGUAAAUGGCAUUGUCAUUUUGUGACCGUAAUUACUCAUGUUACAGUGACCUGGAAUGUAAAGACCUCCUCAUUCCCAGUGAUUUGUUGUUUAAGUCCAGGAAAAUGUCCUCCUUUCUGCCCAGACACAGCUGAAGCUCCCUGUAGCCAGGGGACGUAAGCGAGGAUUACUGAAGGUAAAGAGGCCAAGGAAACAAUGAAGUCACCCAGGAGAGAGGAAGAAGACUCUGAGCCACGUGCCAAAGACCUUGUUAAAUGUGGCCAAGCACUCAUCAAAUAUGCUUUCUGAUGGCUUUAAAUUACUUGCCUUGGCCUUUACGGAAGAAGACUGGAGCACUAUUCAUAUCCCCUACUUUGUCCUCUAAACUGGACAGGUCUUAGGCAGACAGUUGGAGAAUGGAAAAGGAAUACCACACUGAAACCUGACAGGCUAAUUCAGGGCAGAAAGUGGUCUGGCUUAAAAGGUUCCCCCCAGGUGUUCUGAAGAAACGAAAGGGUGAAAUUGUGAAAUCAAGGGACUUGCCAAAAGCACUCUUUAGGAAGAUAGGAUGUGGGACACUCCCAGGGUUAACUCUGAGGACUAUAGACAGGUAUUGGGGAGCCUCAUAGACCCUGUCAGUCACGGUGGAGUUACCGGAUAUGCCUGAGUUGAGGAGACAGCAUAGCACUCCCUGGGAAUGUACUCCAGGUCUCAUUGCUGUGGACAAUGACCCGAAGGCUUGUAGGCAUAAAGACCCUCCCUGGGUGCUGGAGUCAGAGCCACCGUGACUCCUACCUCAGUCACAGCACAACUCGGAGUCGUGGUCUCCUCACUGCCAACAGGGAUGAAUCCUCCAACUUCAUAGACCCUCGUAGGGUUCUUCUCAGUCCUGUUUGAAAGUGCCUAGCAUAUUUCUAACUCUGUAAGUGCGUGCUUACUGAAUGAUGCUGUAUACUUCUGCUAGCAUUGGACAAGACCAUUACAGAAAAUGGAACUUACCAUUAUGGAAAAACCAAGCAUCCAGUUUGUUGUGCUGAAUCUGGGCCUCCUCAAGAAAAACCUACAAUAUGGAGGGAGAGGCAUUCCAAAGAAAGGGCUUCCCUGUGAAGAUGGCAGUUUAGGUCCUUCAGUCUGACAAGGCAGACACUUAGAGAAUGUGACAGAAUCUGUAAAAUAAUAAAGACAAUGGUUGAGGUAAGUGGCCUUGUCCUAUUUGAAAUUUGAAAGUAGUAAUUUCCAGGUAUACACUACAUUAUCUCAUGAGUAAAAAAAUGCCAGGAGCAUGUUAACCCAUAAGCUGUGUGAUAGAGGCUGAACAUAGAAAUCUAUACAAAAGAGAACUGGAUAGUUCCUUAUUUUGAUGUCAUAAAGGCCAGCCACACUUUCCCCAAACAUCCUGAAUGCCACUGUCACUGGCAACUGACAUUAACACUAAUCUGAAUGGACCCCAUUUAAUGUAAAAAAUGUUUAUUGAGCAUUUUCUUAGGCAGGACAAUGUGGUGGGUCUGUGGGAAGCCAAAAUGUGCAAACACUUAAUCUACUUGAGAUAAACUGUAUGUGCAUAAAACAUUGAAUAGGUCUCUAAUAGACUAACAGCGCAAAAGCAGUCUUGUUUAUGAAGAAAGUAAUAGGGUAGAUGGAGAGUCAGAUUUACUGUGAAGCAAAUUAAGCUUCAGUUUUAGACCUUUUAUUUGCAAGGUCCCUUCCAAGGCCCCGUGCCCAGUUUUGCAGUCAUAGUUGCAUAUAUAUUCCUUUUAUUAAGGAAGGCACCUCAAAUUGUUUAUGCUUCAGGCCCCACAAAACCUGUAUCUGACCCUAGUGCAUUAACUUCGAGAUGAGGGAUUCGUUGUGAGCACCUGCAGGGAGGGACACUGUCUCUGCAAAUGCAGCGCCUGCUGCCAAGCACAGAGGACUUCUGCUAGACGUGACCUUAUUCCUCCUCAUUCCCUAGAAUAUGUAGGAUGCACCAACCCAUUCUUUUCAGAGAAAAAGAAUCAAGAGAAUUGGAGCAAGGUCACAGGAUGCUCCAGCUAGAUUUCAAGGUCUUGAAGUGGUUUUGCUUUCUCUUUGGCUUUCUCAGGCCUGUGCAGCUAGGUUCCAUUUUAGAAUGGCCUCUUGGGAGAAGCCAGCAUCCCACCCUACACCCACUAGAGUCUCCUGCUGUACCCAAUUCUGUUAAUUCCUUUGGUCCCAACUCCACGGUGCUGUGCGUAUCUGAGGGGCCCUGGUGUUCCCGUGAAGUUUCCAUGACUAAUACUGGUAAAGCAAGGAGAGCCUUUCUCACGUCAACAAAGCCGCUCUGUCACAGAAUAGUGGCAGAUGGAGCCAAAAUUCCACCUUGGCAUACGUAAGGGUUACCGCCCGCCCCCCACACCACCCAAAAAGAAAAAAAGUUGAGAAGGAAAAAGGAUGGAGGGCACGAUUCACUGUAGUGACUGACGGUGUAUUAAGAUGCAGUUUUGUGGCUUUGCUUACAGGCUUUCUCCUCUGCCAAAGAACAUUGUUCUUCCAGAAGUUGUUUUACUUCAGAAGACUUUUAAAACAUUAAAAGUGUGUUUUAUGUUCAGACGUAAUGCUGGUUGGCCCAGAGACACACUGUCACCUCUAGAGGUGGUUAUGAAAAUAACUUGCUUUUCCCUUUUGCUUGCAAAGGAUCUUUUUCAGCUGCAAAAAUAAUUGCUGAUUUUUUUAAAUCUUGGAUCCCAGACAGCACUUUUCUAGCUUUGAUUUGUAAAGAGGCAAAGUGGAUUAGAGGAAAGAGGGCUGGAAUUAAAGUCUAGAGACCUCAAGCCAGGCCCCGUGAGGUCUUGGACCAGUCACAUGUAACCAUGAGUCUCGGUUUCUUCCUGGUAGAAUGUUAAAUCUGGAAGGGCCUUAGAGAUAACCCCUGCCUGUCUAUCCUAAAAGACUUUGAGAGUCGAAAAUAAUAGUAACAAUUAAAGACUAACCUAACUGCUGUACAAGUACAGAGUAUCAUUACCGUGCAGUGGCUGGCAGUAGCUCAGAGAGGAAUUAUUUCCCUGGUAAAAGUCCCUGGUUGGUCUUUUGCCAAAGGGAGUUUGCAUUCUGAAAAUUAACCAUUAGACCAAACCCCCAAUGCGUGGCUUGUAACACAAUGAAAACAAGUCAGGGAGAUGAUGCAGAAGGAUAAAGCUAGAAACCUGAUGUUUCUCCAUUGGAAAUAAGUAUUUUGUUAAUUUCUAUCAAUCUUUCAGGGUAUUUACACUUCCAGAGCAUGCCUCCUCUCCCCAAUCAAUCACACUGUCACAGGAGCAUUCAGACUGGCAUGUUCGUAUACCUGUGACCUCACACUCCUAGAGAAUAUUCAUGUGCCAAUGUGGUUAUCUGUACGUAGAUGAAAUUCUCAUAGAGCCUUGGGACCUGAUUUCUAAAAUUGUUAAAGUGGUAAAGCAAACAUUUCUGUUUCGUUUGCAAGAACUGCAUUGUGCCCUGUGACCUCUCCCUGUGCGCACCCUUGUAGCUGUACCCUCUCCGCACAGCUCACUCCCUUGACUGUUCCCAGUAAGGGAGUAUCCAGGCUCUGGGGUCAGGCUGACCUGUAUUCCAGUCCUGACUCACUAGUUAUGUGGCCUCUGCACAUCACAGAGCUUUUCUGAAUCUUAAAUCCCUCUCCAUCUGUUACAUGGGACUAAAAAUAUGGAAACCUGCACAGACAUUGUGAAGACAGAGCUAUUUGCGAAGAACCUCACUCGGCUGCAGGUGCUCUAAUUAAUAUUAGCAGUGGGCUUUAGACCACUGUCACUCCCCAGAAGAUUCCUGCCUUAUCCCUGCCUCCAGCCUCUUUCCAUCCCGGCUGCUCUACACUUUGAGUCAGAAUUUCUAAGUUGGAAGGGACUGGACACAGCAUUCCAAAGCACUACAUUCAUCAUGUCAUCUACCCCAUCCCAGACUUCCCAAGGCCCUUACUGCCGCCUCAGAUCAGCUGCAAGACCUCUGCUUCACGUCUCUCUUCCUCACCACGCCUCUCCCUGCUGGGCAGCCAUUACCACAUCCUAUGAGCACUUUCUUGCUGUGUGCAUCCCCUUAAGAUGUUCUCUCCCACUGAGCAUCAGUCACUCGGCAGAUGGAUAAGACCACCUCCUACUCUAAUGAACUUUCCAGGAGCUUUGUG